Molecule: ribosomal RNA, 236 nt
Filed under: uncultured bacterium
Lineage: Bacteria
Description: partial 16S ribosomal RNA
Rfam family: Bacterial small subunit ribosomal RNA
Source: RNAcentral
GAUCCUGGCUCAGGAUGAACGCUAGCUACAGGCUUAACACAUGCAAGUCGAGGGGCAGCAUGGUCUUAGCUUGCUAAGGCCGAUGGCGACCGGCGCACGGGUGAGUAACGCGUAUCCAACCUGCCUUACACUCUUGGACAGCCUUCUGAAAAGGGGAGAUUAAUACAAGAUGUUAUCAUGGGUAAGCAUUUUCGCAUGAUUAAAGGUUUACCGGUGUAAGAUGGGGAUGCGUUCCA